This 493-nucleotide ribosomal RNA is filed under the name uncultured bacterium. RNAcentral's name for it is "partial 16S ribosomal RNA". It matches the Rfam family "Bacterial small subunit ribosomal RNA", at positions 29 to 523 of the family's 1533-position model. The record is from RNAcentral.
AUUGAACGCUGGCGGCAUGCUUUACACAUGCAAGUCGAACGGUAACAGGUUAAGCUGACGAGUGGCGAACGGGUGAGUAAUGCAUCGGAACGUGCCCGGUCGUGGGGGAUAACGCAGCGAAAGCUGCGCUAAUACCGCAUACGAUCUGAGGAUGAAAGCGGGGGACCGUAAGGCCUCGCGCGGUCGGAGCGGCCGAUGUCAGAUUAGGUAGUUGGUGGGGUAAAGGCUCACCAAGCCAACGAUCUGUAGCUGGUCUGAGAGGACGACCAGCCACACUGGGACUGAGACACGGCCCAGACUCCUACGGGAGGCAGCAGUGGGGAAUUUUGGGCAAUGGGCGAAAGCCUGAUCCAGCAAUGCCGCGUGCAGGAAGAAGGCCUUCGGGUUGUAAACUGCUUUUGUACGGAGCGAAAAGGUCUCCUCUAAUACAGGGGGCUCAUGACGGUACCGUAAGAAUAAGCACCGGCUAACUACGUGCCAGCAGCCGCCGUAA